Long non-coding RNA from Culex quinquefasciatus (southern house mosquito), 988 nucleotides. RefSeq lists it as uncharacterized. The transcript has 3 exons. Lineage: Eukaryota; Metazoa; Arthropoda; Insecta; Diptera; Culicidae. The record is from RefSeq and is a predicted model, not a curated record.
GCCGCGAUUCGCCGAAGCGGUUUUGGGAUGGUUGUGUGAGUGCAAAGUGUCAAAAUCUCGUCACAACUCAGGACCUCUCAGGACGGUGAAGGAUCCGGGCAUUCCAAGUUAUCUUUGGUCCGUUUCUUGCGUAAAAAUGUGGUCCUUCACCCAAAAUCCUCUUCCCGAGCCGUAGCAGAUUCUUCAAGGCAAGCUCCCCCACUGGAGGCAGCAGAAGCAGCCGCUGCUGUUAAACUAACCGUACCUCGACACGUACAAUUUUCUUGAAGUGGUUGCACUUUUUCUUUUCUCCAGCUGGAGGGGGAAGGCGACGCGGACUUUUCUUUGGGCAAAAUUUUUCCUGCUGCUUCUUAUGAGAGAGCUGCCCCCAGUAUGACGAAAAGGAAACUACCUCCAGUUGAUUUGGAAUCGGCAAGUGUCCGGUAGCUGGUGGCGGCCGCUACCUAUCAGAAAUAAGGCCACGCUCCAGCACCACGAUGACCAGCACCGCAGUUGGUUGAUGGCAACGUCGCGAUGACCAGGCCGUUGCUGGGAAACCUGCUGCAGAACGAGAGCGUCAGUUCACUUAAGUCCGGCAGCUGAAGAACCAAAACCCCAGGAACCAGGAUCCGGAAAAGGACCAGCUGCCUGAUGCAAACUACCUGGAGAAACUCCGCGAAACGACUAGAUUCUGCCAGCCAAAAAAGAUGGAGUGUCGAAACUGAAGGUCAUGGAGCUGCGGGAGAAGGCCGAUCUGUCAACUCGCGGUUGCCCCAAUGAGCGAGGUCGAGUGGAAGUCGUGCAGAUGACGAAGAUUGGAGCCGACGGUUCUACGAGCAGAUUCCGGGUGGUGACUCCAGAAUGUUCCCGAGACGGUAGCGCAUCAUUUUGGUCACUUCUUUCAUUGUAAAAUCUUUUUAUGACAUUAAAACUAACUAUGGGGUUUAUGUGGUUUGGGGCUUUGUUUUCAUUGUUUGCAUUUUAAAUAAAAUGUUUUAAACCUUAAAAA